This 468-nucleotide ribosomal RNA is filed under the name uncultured bacterium. RNAcentral describes it as "partial 16S ribosomal RNA". It matches the Rfam family "Bacterial small subunit ribosomal RNA", at positions 28 to 507 of the family's 1533-position model. The record is from RNAcentral.
GAUGAACGCUGGCGGCGUGCUUAACACAUGCAAGUCGAACGGAAAGGCCAGUGCUUGCACUGGUACUCGAGUGGCGAACGGGUGAGUAACACGUGGGUGAUCUGCCCUGCACUUCGGGAUAAGCCUGGGAAACUGGGUCUAAUACCGGAUAGGACAAUGGUUUGGAUGCCGUUGUGGAAAGUUUUUUCGGUGUGGGAUGAGCUCGCGGCCUAUCAGCUUGUUGGUGGGGUAAUGGCCUACCAAGGCGUCGACGGGUAGCCGGCCUGAGAGGGUGUACGGCCACAUUGGGACUGAGAUACGGCCCAGACUCCUACGGGAGGCAGCAGUGGGGAAUAUUGCACAAUGGGCGCAAGCCUGAGGCAGCGACGCCGCGUGGGGGAUGACGGCCUUCGGGUUGUAAACUCCUUUCGCUAGGGACGAAGCGUAUUUGUGACGGUACCUGGAGAAGAAGCACCGGCUAACUACGCG